UAAAUGUUUGCUUGAACAAACAGUUUUAAACCUAAUUUGCCGUGGGUUUCUUGUGAUUGUGGCAGUGUUUGUGUCUUUAUAAAGUUCUGCUGGUGUCCUUUAAUUUGGGGAUUGGAGAGUUUGUAAUUCGGCUUGGAUUUUUUAGAAUCAAUCCCCUGUCCACAUCAUAAUGUAACGUUACAACAUGUCUGUACAUGUGGCCUGUGGUGUCACUUUAUGCUACAUCCGGGUAAUCUGGAAGAAGGGGAUUCCCCUAGCCCUGGAAUUUCCAGUGAUGUCAUCACGAAACUAAAAACAAACAUGCAGCUGACAGUGGUGUAGAAGUUUACCGGAUGGUCCAGAAUGGAACUUAUCUGAAGAAAAGGAAGGAAUGGAUCUGAAGAAAAGGAAGGAAUGGGUAAUAUGGCAGGCUGCAGCAGAUGGUGAUACAGUCAGAGUGAAACAGAUGUUAGAGGAGGGAGUCAAUCCUAAUGCUGC
Molecule: long non-coding RNA, 477 nt
Organism: Branchiostoma belcheri (Belcher's lancelet)
Lineage: Eukaryota; Metazoa; Chordata; Leptocardii; Amphioxiformes; Branchiostomatidae
Exons: 3
Source: RefSeq, a predicted model, not a curated record